ACGCUCGACACCUACGGGAGGUAGCAGUGGGGAAUAUUGGGCAAUGGGCGAAAGCCUGACCCAGCAACGCCGCGUGAGGGAUGAAUGUUUUCGGAUUGUAAACCUCUGUCCUCAGGGACGAAGGACGUGACGGUACCUGAGGAGGAAGCCCCGGCUAACUACGUACCAGCAGCCGCGGUAAUCUGAGCGGGCUGGCAAGGC
This 201-nucleotide ribosomal RNA is filed under the name uncultured bacterium. RNAcentral describes it as "partial 16S ribosomal RNA". It matches the Rfam family "Bacterial small subunit ribosomal RNA", at positions 328 to 539 of the family's 1533-position model. The record is from RNAcentral.